RNAcentral lists this ribosomal RNA (418 nucleotides) under uncultured bacterium. RNAcentral describes it as "bacterial SSU rRNA". It matches the Rfam family "Bacterial small subunit ribosomal RNA", at positions 358 to 773 of the family's 1533-position model. The record is from RNAcentral.
GGAAUAUUGGACAAUGGACGGAAGUCUGAUCCAGCCAUCCCGCGUGCAGGAUGAAGGCGCUACGCGUUGUAAACUGCUUUUGUACAGGAAGAAACGCUAGGAUUUAUCUUAGCCUGACGGUACUGUCAGAAUAAGCACCGGCUAACUCCGUGCCAGCAGCCGCGGUAAUACGGAGGGUGCAAGCGUGAUCCGGAAUCACUGGGUUUAAAGGGUGCGUAGGCGGCUAAAUAAGUCAGAAGUGAAAGCCUGCGGCUUAACCGUAGAAUUGCUUUUGAUACUGUAUAGCUUGAAUUAGGUUGAGGUUGGCGGAAUGUGACAUGUAGCGGUGAAAUGCAUAGAUAUGUCAUAGAACACCAAUUGCGAAGGCAGCUGACUAGACCUUAAUUGACGCUGAGGCACGAAAGCGUGGGGAGCGAAC